AAGUAAAUGGUCAUAGACAAAAAUACAUCGUUCAGGAGGGGACGAACGAGGGUAUAUAAAAUAUUACGUCUCUUGUUUCUUGUUGAUAAACCGGCUAGCGGGUCUUUGUGUAAAUUCUAAUUUUUAUAAAUAAAAGAUUAUGAUACGAUAUUUACGACGAAAAACACGAUCCAAAGUGAUAGAUCCACUUACCGCUGGAUGUUCGGCGACUACAUUGCGCAAUGUAACGCUCCAGUUAUAAUUCGUUCAACGUUAUUUACAAAAACACCGCGCAUUCCGUAUGAGAAACGCGACUGUGCCACUUCACGAUUUAAUAAACAUUUGCAUUUUAUCGAAUUUGCCCGUUUGGUAUCGCGGAACGAUAUGAAAACUUGGAAGCUCGUUGCCCGGUACACGGUGUACGCGUGAACGCGCCAAAGUAAUUGCAAAUUUAAUAUUACGACGUGUACGUACGUCACACGGUUGAAAGGGUUAUUAGUGUAGCCGGUUGUAUUCAGACAACUCAGAUACAGAAAGCUGGUUAUAUAAAUUUAAUCUAUCUUCUAUCCAGGACAGACGCGUUCUCUUCCAUAACAAACCAUCACGUUGCUCGGCGUUAGUUUGCCUUUUGUAUUUAUUCUGCUGUUCUUUCGAUGGAACAUACCGAGGAAACAUUGUAUUCGUCUUUCUCGGUCAACCGGUUCGUAUGUAAUUCAUCAACCGACGUUAACUUCGGCUCGUCUCCACGAAAUUGCAUUAUGUAUUCCAUCAUAAAGGUGAAUUCGAUGAAACGUUGCGACGAGGAAAAAUUCGAGAUGUAACGUGGCUCCUUCGUAUCUUUUCCUCAGACAGGGUACGUUAGACGGUAUUAAAUGCAGGAUUAUUCGACGAUAGGAAUGGAAGAGAGGAAGAAAUGUGAAAAGGACACGUCAUGAUUAUAAUUCUAUAUACUUGUUACAACUGAAGAGUUCGAAGGAAAUCUAUGCAAAGUAUUGGACGAAAAUGGCAAUUGUUGUAUUGCAAAAAGGUAUAUCUUAUUUCCAUGCAAGAAACAUUCGGAAUAAAAAUAGCGUAUGAAGAAAACGAUAACGUGUUUACGUUACAAAAUGCCGAUUAGGCCGGUUCGACGAUCCAUUUCAACGUGCUGUUAUUUCACGUUUUACGCGUUGGGUGGUGGCCAACUUUUUCAGUAUUUCGAUGCAUGAAUCAAGGAAACGAUUUCAGCCUCUCUGGGUGUUCGCGUGACACGUGUAUGUCGAAAGUGAAUCCCGUAUGACAUUUGCGGAGCGUAUUUUUGGCAAGAAUCGUAUGCACCUUCAAUUUCACUUCCUGGUUUGUCUUCGUUCUUACGCAAUCUUUAACUCUAUUUGUGGACAAAAUAAAUCGAUGCGUUUCUCUUUCUGUCGCAGUAGAUUCCCAAAAAUUAAUCAUUCUGUAACACGUAUUUCAAUCCUAAAAUAUAAAUGAACCACCUGUAUCGAAAUAGACGCAUUAUCGCGCGAAUGUCAGAUUAAAGAUUAUAUUCCAUUCAAUUUUUUAAUAUCUUAUAUCACAUUCACAUUUAAUAUGUACGUUCAUGCGUAAAUGAAAGUUUUCUUUUGUUAUAAGAAAGAAGUAUCUUUUAAAUCGAUCAAGAUACUAAUAUGAAAUUUUAAGAAUAAUAAUUAUUAUUAUAUUCGAUUAUUACAUAUAUCUUCUAUACAUCACAAUUUACAUACUAUAGUAUGAUUACUUCACAGAAAAUAUCAACUAACGUGCCUCGCCACUAAACCGUUAAUCGCGAUAAAUUUUUAUAUUAAAGUUAAAAAUCCUCCCAAUUACAGAGAAAAUUUUAUUGACUAUGUCGUCAUGCAAAUCCAUUACGAAAAUCGUGUACUGGUGUAUCCAAUUAAUUUCAGUUGCAAGUUGCGUGGCAAGUCAUCGGAAGCUGAAGAUAUUUAAUGAAGUUUCUCGAGAUCCUGGCGAGUGGCUCGACGCAAAAGUCUUUCAAUGAGAAGCCUUCGUCGCCGCGAAAGUGGCGACGAGAGAAUGUCAAGAACUAAACGCUUCGACGGGGAAACAGCAACGGCUUCGCCGCGUAAUUGGAAAACUUCCGGUGCCGUAUAAGUUGCCGGAAGUUGCGGCCAAAGACUCUUAUGGAGUCCGGUUAUCAGGGAUGUCGAGUCUCUCGAUGCAGUUACAAACCGAUAAAUCACUCAUUGUGAGCCCGAUCAUACUGUCAUUUUCUAUAAUUGCUAAGUUAUAAUUGUUUCUCUUUUCUAUGAAUAUUUUAAGAUUUCUAGUGGCGUAUAGUUAAAGUUUUACGAUUUAAAAUUGAAGGUAUACGUUAUAAACUAUAAAAGAUCUUUGCUCGAUGAAGCUAGAUAAAUAAUUUGACAGUAUUAAAAAUUCAAUUAAUUUCCGUUAAAUAUUGAAGCGUGAAUACGUGGAAAUUAAAUAAGAAACUGUAGGGAAGUGAUUAAUCCUUAACUGCUAUGAUGAAAUGAAAAUAUGAAAAUUAAUUACAGAUAUCAUAUGGAACUCUUACGUUACAAGUUUUCCAAAUUGUGAAUUGUUGCAUCUAUUGCAUCGAUUAUGAAAAAUGAAAACGUUCUUUUACGUAUAAUAUCUAUGUUAAAUUAUAUGCUUACAUGCGACGAUGUGACAUUAUUUAGAUCCAAUAAAACAAUAAAAGAUUUGUGUAGAUGUUAGUGCUUAAAAUGCUUAAACGUCUGUGUACUAAUUUAAUCGUUUAUUGUCUAUAAUUUAAAAUAUAAGUUAUUUAGAAUAUAACUUAAAAAGAAAACAGAAAAAUUAUGUCGUACAUCGUAUCUCGUACCUAGGUCGAGUUCAUAAAUAACAAAGCAGAUAAGAAGUUUCCCCGCGAUUCUAUCUCGCAAUAUUUUCAACUUCACGAACUCUAAUAUUUAAUGUUAUCCAAUGUUUCCAUUCCUGCUACCGUUUCUGAAUUAUUUAUUUGUCACGAGGAGAAGAAACAUAACGUCCACCCCUAUCCGGCAUAUUUUCAACUUUGUGCGCUGUAACAUUUAACGUCCCACAAUAUUUCUUAUGCAACUCAGUUCCAACAAAUUAAUUUUUUAUACCUGGAGCUUUAUUUUUAUUGCCUUUGACAUAUGCACCGUUCUUGUUUCGUUUACUUUGGCCAGUUAUUAUUCAAGGUUGGCAAAGAAAAUUCUAGCACGAUACUGCAAAGGGAGAUCUGCAAUUUACAAACGUGGCGCAUCAUACUCGAGGGAAAACCAUCUGAGAGUUGUCCACUUGCAAGAUCAUUCGAGAGACAGGGAAAUAUGUAGCUGGCAAUCCACCUCUCGAGGACAAAUAUUUGCAGACAUGGUCUAUUAAAGCGUCUGCAUAAAACAACGAAGAGUAUAAAAAAGGGGAAAACAGCGAGAAAAUAGGGACCAUAAAACAGCAAGAACAGGGAAGGUAGAAAAGAAGUAAAAUAUGUAGAAAUUAUAAUCGAUGUUCGUAUAAAAACGGUGUAAAAUGUUAGAACUUUGUACAAGUAAAAAUGCAGCAAAACUAUGAGUUACUAUGAUUUUGAUGCUAUUGCUAAUAUUAUAUAAAAUUAAUAUUGUUAA
Molecule: long non-coding RNA, 3560 nt
Organism: Bombus terrestris (buff-tailed bumblebee)
Lineage: Eukaryota; Metazoa; Arthropoda; Insecta; Hymenoptera; Apidae
Exons: 3
Source: RefSeq, a predicted model, not a curated record